AUCCGCACCCACUGCACUCUGGCCUGGGCGACAGAGUGAGACCCUGUCUUGAAAAAAAAAGGAGGGGAUUCUAAAAAGAUGGAGCACCCCGUCUCUUGUAGGAUCCUAAAUAAUUUUGAUAUUUUGAUAUUAACCAUCAAUUAAACGUUUUGUUUUCUUAAGAUGGGAAGUUUUUGAAUAAAAUAUUGGUGAAAAUAUGUAUUGUUAAGCUGUAUAUUCAAGUAAAUUUCAAGCACCAUGUUGCUUUGAUAAUGUAAAAGAUGUGAAAUUUUUAAGUGAUGUGUUUGUUUUUUACUUUAACAAAAUGCCGCACAGUAAAACUAUAAUUCUGAUAGUAGAACUGGUGAGUAAUUAUAUAUGAAAAUUUCUGCAAAUAUACAAAUUCAGAUCACAGUAUUUUGGCAUUUUUCUUUCAUUAUCUGACUGUUGCAGGAAUCCAGGCCAUGCUGUAGAGGGGAAAAGCUUAGGCUUUUGGAAUCAUACUGCAGCAUCACUUAACAGUUGUGUGACUUUGGGUGCCUUAUUUAACCUUGAUGAACUUCUGCUUAUCUCUGUAAACUGCGCAUAAUAGUAUGGACUUUAGUGUUAUUGUAAGGAUUCCAUGAGAUUAAGUAAAUGAACCUUGGCAUGGCUUUGAGCUUUUACUGUGGUUCUUUAAUAGCAGAUUUCAGGGUGGAAUGUACUCAGGAGCAUCAGACACCAGGGAUAGUGGUGGAUGCAGGGUGUGAUUGAUGUUGCUUGUUAAAUAUUUUAAUUUUUGCAUAGAGAUUUUUUCUGUGAUCCAUUUCCCCACUAUCCUUAGAAAGAUGGUUUAGAGAGAAUCCAGAGGGAUUGAAUUAUUAGAAAGCUCAAGAUAACUUUAGGUGGGGGUGGGGACCUUGAGGUUACAGUUACAGUGAGGCUUCAGUGUGGCUGCAAGAAGACUGAGUUCAAAGUCCUGACCUGCAGUCUAAUUCAGCUUCCUCUGCUCACUGUACACUCUUCAGCUCCUUUGCUAGCCACACUCGGUGACAUUGAAGCUGUGCAGCCCGAUAAAAGGAGUUUUCACAGACUGACACGGGGACUAACUUUGGCUCCACCACUUGUCAGCCAUGUGUCUUUGGGCAGGUUAUGUAAACCUUCCGAGCCACAGGUUCCGUGUUUGUUUAAGAGGGAGAUAAUAGUUACUUGGCAUGAUUGUUGUGAGGAUGAAAUGAGAUCAUGGAUAUUAAGUUGCCAGCAAAGAGCCCCAUACUACACAAUCAGUGCUUGACCCGUGGUAGGUAAUUAUUAAAAUAGCUGCUUGGCCUCCCUUGCUGUGAACAGUGUGUAAGAGUGCUUUGAAAUCUGUAAAACAUGAGUUAGUAGCAUUUAUUUGAAAAUACAAGCAUGAUUCCUUGCUUGUGUGUAUGGGAUGUCAAAGUUUCUUUUAAAAUUCCUGUUAUACCACCAUAUCUGAUGUCAAAUAACAGUUGCUCUCUUCUUUACUACUGGACAAUUCUUAAAACAGUAGCUUUUAAGCUAAGUAUUUUAUUCCGUGGUAACUCUAAUCAGGGAGCUACAUUUCAGAAUCAUGUGUAGCCAUAGAAGCACUCUAUUGUCUGAUUGCUCAUUGCAUUGGUUUCCUGAGGGCAGUGUUGGGUCCCUCUUGUUUGGCCCUGAGUCCUCUCUCAUACCUGACACACACUGCAGCAUGAGGAAAUAAAUGUGUGUUUGAAUAGGGAAUAUGGGGAAUAGGCCAAGAUGAAAUUGUGAUAUUUUACCUUUUUUCCUCCUAGGUUAAGUAGAUCACUGUUCUCUUGAUAUAUGCAGCUUUGCUAGUAAAGUUUAAUUUUCCGGUAUAGUCUCUUUUCUUAUGCAAAAGACAACUCUUAACAAAAUACUUGGCAAUUUGAGCAUGCUGUGCCUCUGACAACAUUUCCUUUGCCAGAAGAAGCCAUCUUUUAUGCAGUCAUCACCUCCCACCAGAACCUGACUAUGCCCUCCUUCCUGCCUUAUCUCAGCUUCAACAUCAGUUUCUCCAAUGUUUCCUUCCCCUCCCCUCCCCACCUUCCCCCCUCUCCCUUCCCCUCUUCUUCCCUCCCCUCUUCCUUUUCUGAGACAGGGUCAUUUCUUUUGCCCAGGCGAGAGUGGGGUGGCACAAACUCGACUCACUGCAGCCUCCACCUCCUGGGUUCAGGCAAUUCUUGUGACUCAGCCUCCCAAAUAGCUGAGAUUACAAGCAUGCACCACCACACUGGCUAAUUUUUGUAUUUUUUGUAGAGACAGGGUUUUGCUAUGUUGGCCAGGCCGAUUUCGAACCCCUGGCCUCAAGUGAUCCGCCUAUCUCAGCCUCCCAAAGUUCUGGGAUUAUAGGCAUGAGCCACUGCACCCGGCCUCUGAUGUUUUCUCUGGCUCUCUUUGUAGGGUAUUGAACCUCAUUCUCUGUGCUUUCAUAGCAUCUUGUAUACCUUAUUAUAUUGUUUUCACAGAUAGACUGUAAACUCUUUGAGAGUAGGGACCAUGUCUCAGUCACCAUUGCGUUUUUAGUGCGUAAAGUGGUAGUGUCUGACAUUAGUAAGUAAAUGUUGAAUAUUUAUUGAAUUGCAUAAAUGAUAUUCAUAGUAUUGUGACUUGGAAAUGCCUUUUUGCAUGUGAUGGAUGUAACUAAUGUCUCUGCUCUUUAGCUGUGAUUUCUAAAAUUAUGCAGAUGUUUCACUGAAAGACGGUGUGAAAUUUGUUCUUUAUAAUGGUGAUUCUAAUGAUAAGAAGGACCCAGGGUAUCUGAUGUGCUGCAAAUCCUAUUAAUUUUUUUUUUUUUUUGAGACGGAGUCUUGCUCUGUCACCCAGGCUGGAGUGCAGUGGUGCGAUCUCGGCUCACUGCAACCUCCACCUCCCAGGUUCAAGCGAGUCUCCUGCCUCAGCCUCCCGAGUAGCUGGGACUACAGGUGCGUGCCUCCACUCCCGGCUAAUUUUUGUUUUGUAUUUUUAGUAGGGACAGGGUUUCACCGUGUUAGACAGGAUGGUCUCGAAUGCCUGACCUUGUGAUCUGCACUCUUCGGCCUUCCAAAGUGCUGGGAUUACAAGCAUGAGCCACCGCGCCCGGCCCCUAUUAAUGUUAUCUUAAACAAAUUACUUAUUCAUUUCAGUGGAAACAGAGCGCCUCUUAGGUCAAUAAUGUAACAUUGAGAAAAUCAUUAAAUGCCUAUUUAUAUAGCAGCUUAUAAUGGCUUCUUUGGCUCUGUUACAAACUAUUUCUGAUUUACAUUUAAGGAGUUGCUUUUUAACUGACACUUUUUUUUUUCUUUGAGUAUUACUAAUUUUAAUCAAGAUUUUUAAAGCCAUUUUUGACUUUUUUUGGGAGACUGGGUUUCACUCUGUUGCCCAAGCUGGAGUGUGGUGGCAUGAUUAUAACUCACUGCAGCCUCGAACUCCUGGGCUCAAGCAGUCCUCUUGCCUCAGCCUCUUGAGUAGCCAGGACUAUAGGUGUGCACUCACCACACCCUGCUAAUUUUUUCAAAAUUUUCUUGUAGAGAUGGGGCCUUGCCAUGUUGCUCGGCUGGUCUUGAACUCUUGGCCUCAAGCCGUCCUCUCUCCUUGGGUUCCCAAAGUGCUGGGAUUACAAGUGUGAGCCACUGUGCCUGGCUAUUUUCGACAUUUUGAAUAUGAAAGUUCUCUUUUAUAGGAACCCUUUUUAUACUAACUACUAAAACCCGUCUACUGAGUGCCAUUCGGUUUCUGUUGCUUUUCAUUUGCUGCUGCUGGGAAGCGGUUCCCUGCUGGCUUUGGGGUGUUUGGAUACGUGGUAACCCAUACAAGCUGUGCAUUUAGCAUUAUUCCCCCUCUGGCUCUUCAGAUGAAGCAGUACAUGGCCAGUGUGGGACUUGGUGCCAUGGAAAGACCACUUACCUUCACCAUUUGAGAAUUUUUCUCAAAGUAGUCAAGCAGGAAAUCUUUUUUUUUCUUUUUUUUUUUUUUGAGACAGGGUCUCUCUCUGUUGCCCAGGCUGAAGUGCCGUUGUGCGAUCUUGGCUCACUGCAACUUCUGCCUCCUAGGUUCAAGCAAUUCUCCUGCCUCAGCCUCCUGAGUAGCUGGGAUUACAGGUGCACGCCACCACACCUGGCUAAUUUUUGUAUUUUUAGUAGAGACGAGGGUUCACCAUGUUGGUCAGGCUGGUCUCGAACUCCUGACCUCGUGAUCUGCUCACCUCCCAAAGUGCUGGCAUUACAGCGUAAGCCACUGUCCCUGGCCAGGAAUUCAUCUUUAAUGGGCAAAUCUGAAUAGCUUGUUUAUAUUUUGGAUUUUUAUAUUUCUAAUGUAGUUUUAUUAAAUGGGGAAGAGCUCAACAAUAUUUCAAAUGUAGUAGAACUUUCUAGCCAUACUCUCAAUAUUUAGACAUUGUUUUGAGUGUCUUUAAAUGCAUCGUAGGACAUUGUGUCUCUGAAUAUAAUUUUUAUAGAAAUGGCUUUAGAAAAAGAGCUUUUUCACAUAUUUUGAAAGCUGGAGAUUGGAACACACACAGUAGAUACUGUAAGAAACUUUUUAAAAGCAGAAAUUGAUAAAGACACUUUAGAAGAGGCAGGAACUCAACAGUUAUUUUGGGUCAUAAAAAGUUACCCAGUAAUUAUAAAUAAAAUAAAAGCCCAAAUUCAGAUAGUUGUAUGAAUUCCUGAUACCCUGCCUUAGAAGCUUUUUCAGGAUGAUUUUUGGGAUGAGGGAAGACACUUGGCUUUGCCUCAGUCUAAAUUAUUGAGUGUGCUUAUGUUAAAUUGUGUUUUUAAAAAGCACAGCUUUUGAUUAUGCUGAACAGAUAAAUAUUAGAAUUGUAGAGACAACUCUUUCAGGAUGAUUGUUCAGCCCUGAAUUUGCUAAAAGGCUGCUUAUAACUUUGAACUUUACCUGUGCUUUUUAUUAUCCUUUUGAUGUUUGCAGAAUCUGUAGUGAUAACUGGUUUUUAUUCGUGAUAUUACUCAUUUGUGUCUCAUUUUUCCUUGUUCAUUCCAGUCAGCUGUUACCAUUUUGUUGAUCUCUCUCAAGAACGCUUUUGGCUGUGUUCGUUUCUCUGUAUUGUUUGAUAUUGUCUAUUUUGUUGGUUUCUGUUUUUUUUCUCCUUUUACUUGCUUGGGUUUACUUUGCUCUUCUUUUCUCAGUUUCUUGAGCUAGAACCGUAUGUGAUUGGUUCUUCUUUUCUUCUUUUUUCUAAAUUCUUUUUAAAAAAUUUAAGCCUGGCGUCCUCGAGGUUGUUGGUAGGUCAACAUAUUAAUAUCUUACUGAUUAGCCAGUGAUUGGUAAGAGGUGGUGCUGAAACACCUUGAGCUGGUAAAGCUUUAACCCUUUGCCAGCUAAGUUAGGGAACAGACUCAACAUUCCGGCAGCUUACAAGUCUGCCCCAAUGUUUACUUUUGUCUGGACCUCUGUCCUCUGUGGGCGCACAGGCCUUAUGGUCAGCUAGCUAUGUGUACAUAGCUAAGACUCUGCAAGUCAUUGACUUGAACCAUUUUCCUUUUCUAACAGAAGCAUUUAAAGCUAUAAAUUAUCCUCUAAGUACUGCGUUAGUUGUAUGUUAACUGUUUAUUUAUACGUAUGUUUUAAAUAUCAUUAAGUUGGAAAAGUUUUGUGAUUUCUUCUUUGAUCCUGGAUUAUUUAGAAAUGUGUUGUUUCAUUUCCAAAUGCUUAGGAUUUCGUUAGAUUUCUUGUUACUAAUUUAUAAUUUCAUUCUGUUGUGACUAAAGAUUUCAAUAGGAUUUCAGUCCUCUUAAAUUUACCAGAAUUUCCUUUAUAGUCAAGCAUAAGGUCUAUGUUUUUGAACAUACUGUGUGCACUUAAAAAGAACAUCAAUAUUGGUUAGUCUUAUUCAUAUAUCCUGCAUCCUUUUUUUGAUGUUUUUCUUUGAGACAGAGUCUGGCUCUGUCACCCAGGCCAGAGUAUGAUCUCGGCUCACUGUAACCUCCACCUCCUGGGCUCAAGCCAUCCUCCCACUUCAGCUUCCUGAGUAGCUGGGACUGCAGACACACGCUAGGAUGCCUGGCUAAUUUUUGUAUUUUUUGGUAGAGAUGGAGUUUCACCAUGUUACGCAGGCUGACCUUGAACUGUUGAGCUCAAGCAAUCCUCCCACCUCAGCCUCCCAAAGUGCCGGGAUUACAGGCAUGAGCCACUGUGCCCAGUCUUAUUCUAUAUCUUCACUGACUUUUUUAGAUUUAGUUGUUAUAUCAGUUUUUGAGAAGGGUUAAAAUCGCCUGUGAUUGUAGAAUUGUCUGUUUACCCUUUUAAUCUUGUCAAUUUUCAUGUCAUGUAUUUUGUGGCUGUAUUAUUAGGGGCAUACGUAUUUAUGAUUGUUUUGUCUUUCUGAUAAACUGGCCUCUUUAUAAAAUGUUCUCCUUUAUCUUUUGUAAUACUAUUAUUUUUAAGUCUACCUUAUCUGAUAUUAUAAUCACUUCAUCCUCCUUAUGUUUUUUAUAUUUGCCUGGUAUAUUCUUUUAUUAUUAUUUUUCUUUUUGAUACAGAGUCUCAUUCUGUUGCCCAGGCAGGAGUGCAGUGGUGCGGUCUCAGCUUACUGCAACCUCCACCUCCUGGCUUUAAGUGAUUCUCCUGCCUCAGCCUCCUGAGUAGCUGAGAUUACAGGUGUGUGCCACCAUGCCCAACUAAUUUUUGUAUUUUUAGUAGAGACAGGGUUUUGCCAUGUUGCCCAGGCUGAUCUCGAUCUCCUUGCCUCAAGUGACCCACCUGCAUUGACCUCCGAAAGUGCUGAGAUUACAGAUGUGAGCCGCCACACCCAGCCAAACUGGUCUUUUCCUUCUAUUUAUUCUAGACCUAUCUGUGUAUACACAAAGUGAGUCUCUUGUAGACAGUGUAUAGCUUGGUUUUGGUUUUCUUUUUUUUGAGAUGGAGUCUUGCUCUGUCACCCAGGCUAGAGUGCAAUGGCAUGAUCUUGGCUCACCGCAACCUCCACCUCCCGGGUUCAAGCGAUUCUCCUGCCUCUGCCUCCCAAGUAGCUGGGAUUACAGGCAUGCACCCCCAUGCCUGGCUAAUUUUGUAUUUUUAGUAGAGACGGUUUCUCCAUCUUGGUCAGGCUGGUCUUGAACUCCCGACCUCAGGUGAUCUUCCCGCGUUGGCCUCCCAAAGUGCUGGGAUUACAGGCGUGAGCCACCGUGCCCAGCCGGGUUUUGCUUUUUUAUUUCUUCUGUUGACUCUGAAAUUUAAUUGGAGUAUUUAGUCCAAUUUAAUGUCCUUAUUGAUAUGGUUAGGUCUGUCAUUUUAAAAUUUGCUUUUUGUUUGCUUUCUCUGUGUUUUGUUCUUUUGUAUACCCCCUUUUCUGCCUUCUUUUGGAUUAUUUGAAUUUUUAAAAAGAAUUCUGUUUUAAUUUCUCUGCUGGCUUUUUUGUUUUAUCUUUUUGCAUUAUUUUUAGUGGUUGCUUUACAAAUUUAAAUAUCUAUCCAUAACUUUUAACAGUCUUCUCAGAGUUCAUAUUAUACCAUUUCACAUAGAAUGUAGAGACCUUACAAUCAUAUAGGUUCAUUUACAACCAUUCCUUGUAGUCUUUUAGGCUUUAAUUGGGCAUAUGUAUUACAUCUGCAUUCAUUAUAAAUCCCAGAAAGUGGUGUUACAAUUUUACUUUAAACUCUCUAUGUAUUUUAAGAAAUAAGGAGAAGAAAAUAUUUAGUCAGAUAUUUACCAUUUUCAGUGUUCCUCAUUCAUGCCUGAAGAUCCAGGUUUCUUUUUUGGUAUCCUUUUCCUUCAGCUUUGUGAAUUUACUUUAGUAUUUCUUGUAUUGAUGGUUUGGUUGGCAGCUGAUUCUCUAAUUUUUUCUUUAUCUGAAAAUGUCUUUAUUUUGCCUUUAUUCACACAGGAUAUUUUCACUGGAUAUAGAAUUCUGGGUUUUUCUUUCAGUGUUUUAAAGCUGUAGUUCCACUGUCUUCUGGCCUCCAUGGUUUAAGAUGAGAUGUUUGUGUCAUUUGAAUUGUCAUUUUCCUGUAUAUAAUGUGUUAAUUUUCUCUGGUUAUUUUCAACAUUUUCUAUUUACGAUUGGUUUUAGCAGUUUGAAUAUAAUGCACGUAGGCGUAGCUUUCUUUGCAAUUGUCCUGUUGGGGUUGGCUGAACUUAUUGAGUCUAUAAAUUCAUAGUUUUCACAGGAUUUGGGAAGUUUUUAGACAUUAUUCAAAUAAUCUUUGUGUUCCAUAUUCUCUUUCUUCUCCUCUGAGACUCCAGGUACCCACAUGUAGGAGAUCUUUUGAUGUUUUGGUAUUUCCUAAUGCUCUGUUCCUUUUUUCUGUGUUCGUUUCUUUGUCUUCUUCAGGUUAUAUAUUUUCUGUCUAUCCACAGGAUCACUGACUCUUUCCUCUGACAUCAUUUUUCUGCUAUUAAGCCCAUCCAGUGAAUUUUUAUUGCAUAUAUUGUAUACUUUAGUUAUGUAUUUUCAUUCAGUUUAUUUUUUCUGUUUCUCUGUAGAGAGUUUCUUUUAUUUCAUUUGGAGCCUAUGUUUCUGUUUUCUUUUCUUUUUUUUUUUAAUUUUUUUGAGUUCCUGGCCACUUAGUCUUUAUUUCUUUACCUCAUUGAACAUAGUUAUAAUAGGUUGUUUAAAGUCCUUGUCUACUGGCUGUGGUGGUGCACAUUUUUAUUCCCAGCUACUAGGGAGGCUAUGGUGGAAGGAUUGCUUGAGCCCAGUUUGAGGCUGUAAUGAGCUGUAACUGUACCACUCCACUCCAGCCUGAGAGAUACAGCGAGACCCUGUCUCUUAAAAAAGUUAAAAAAAGAAGAAAAAAAAAAAAGCCCAGGUGUGUUGGCUCAUGACUGUAAUCAUAGUACUUGUAGAGGCAAAGGAGGGAAGAUUACUGGAGCGUAGGAGUUUGAGACCAGCCUGGGCAACAUAGUGAGACCCUGUCUCUACUAAAAAUAAACAAAAUUAGUCAGGCAUGGUGGCAUGUACCUGUAGUCCCAGCUACUUAGGAGGCUGAGGUGAGAGGAUCCCCUGAGCUCAGGAGGUCAAGGUUGCAUUGAACCAAUAUCACGCCACUGCACUCCAGCCUGGGUGACAGUGCAAGACCCUGUCUCAAAAAAAAAUCAUUCUCUAAUAAUUCCAACAUCUGCAUCAUCUGAGGGUUGUUGAUACCUGUUGUUGGGAUGGUUUCCCUUGAGAAUGGGUCAUGUUUUCCUGGUUCUUUGUAUAUUGAGUAAUUUGGGAUUGAGUAAUUUCAUUGGUUUCCUGGACAUUGUGAAUGUUCUCUUGUGGAGACUCUGGAUUUAGUUACAUUCCUUAGAAGAAUGUUGAUAUUUGUAUUUUAAUUUCAGCAGGUAAUUGGCCUGGUGCAGUGGCUCACGCCUGUAAUUCCAGCACUUUGGGAGGCUGAGGUGGGUGGAUCACUUGAGGUCAGGAGUUUGAGACCAGCCUGGCCAGCAUGGUAGAAUCCCGUCUCUACUAAAAAAUAGAAAAAUUAUCUGGACAUGGUAGCAUGUACCUGUAAUCCCAGCUACUCAGGUGGCUAAGGCAGGAGAAUCACUUGAACCCAGGAGGCAGAGGUUGCAGUGAGCCGAGAUCACACCACUGCACUCCAGCCUGGGUGACAGAGCGAGACUCCAUCUCAAAAAAUAAAUAAAUAAAAAUGAAAAAUAAUUUCAGCAGAUAAUUAACUUUGUUAGACUCAAACUACAAACUUUUUCAUGGCUGUGGUGGGUUGUGGCUCAGAACUUAGCUUAGAUUGCUCCCAGUUUGCCACAUGCAUGGUUUAGGGUCAACCAGAGACUUGGGCUGGGUCUAUAUACCAAUAUGAGUUUCUUCUUCUUCUCUAACUUCCUGUUUUCCAGAAUUCCUUCCUCACUCUCUAUUGCCCCUGUUUGCCCCUAAGCUUCUUCCAUAAGGACUUCCUUACCUUUGAUUUUUUAAAAAGUUAUUUAGUUUCAUGACAUACCCUGCAUGUAGCAUUCAAAACCUGUGCUUUAAAAAAAAAAAAAAAAAAAGAUGUUUCGCCAUGAUGUCCAGGCUGGUCUCAAACCCCUGAGAUCAAGCGAUCCACUUGCCGCAGCCUCCCAAAGUGCUAGGAUUACAGGCAUGAGCCACUGUGUUUGGCCGAAAUCUGUGCUUUUUAGUUGUAACCCUUAUGGCAUCUAUUUUUUUGUUUGUUUUUUCAAGACGGAGUCUUGUCCUGUGGCCCGGGCUGGAGUGCAGUGGCGCGUUCACAGCUCACUGCAGCCUCUACCUCCUGGGCUCAAGCAGUCCUCCUGCCUCAGCCUCCUGAGUAGCUGGGACUACAGAUGUACACCACCAUGCCCAGCUAAUUUUUUAUUUCAUUUAGAGAUAAGGAUUUGCCAUGUUGCCCAGGCUGGUCUUCAAUUCCUGGGCUCAAGCCACCUGCCUGCCUCAGCCUCCAGCAAUCUGCCUGCCUCAGCCUCCUAAAAUCUUGGUAUUACAGCUGUGAGCCACCGUGCCUGGCUGGCACCUAUUUUGUGAUCCAGACCUUCCUUCCAUAUCACAUACCAUGCUUAAACUACUUUAAUAACAUUUUCAGAAAAUCUAAUGUAAAUGCAUCAAAAAGCAUGCCUUUAACUGAUUAAAAGUGACUCAAGUUCAUUUCCUUUCAGAUAUAUAUAUGUAUUAUAUCUGAAAUACAAUAUAUUGAUAUAUAUUUGAUACGCUGUCCAGACAUAGUAGUGUCUUUGCUUCUACCUUUGGUGCCUUUUGUAGUUGGCCAGUGUGUUACUGUUUAUUUAUUCUUGUCACAGAGGAAAUGCACAAAAUAUUCAAUAAAAACCAAAAAAUGAAUAUUUUUCACAUGAAUGUUAAUUUUCCUAAUCUUAAACUGUAUGUAGAAUUCGUUUACAGUAGUGAUCUUGAAUUCUAAAUGUGGCAAUAGAUAAAUGAGUCAAACUAUGGCAUGACUUUUAAAAAUAAGAUUUCUGUUAAGCUUAUUUUGGAGGAGGAUAUAUGAUUUUUAUGCUGUAAGUACAGGAUCCUGGAAAGCAUGUUCAGUUGUCCCUUGGUAUCCAUGGGGGAUUGGUUCCAGGACUCCAUGCAGACUUCAAAAUCCAGGCAUGUUCAAGGCCUUGAUAUAAAAUGCUAUAAUUUUUGCAUAUAACCUGUACAUAUCCUCCUGUAUACUUAAAAACAUCACUAGAUUACUUACAUGCCUAACAAUGCAAAUGCUAUGUAAGUAGUUGUUAUAUUGUAUAUUGUUUAGGAAAAAUGACAAGAAAAAAGUCUGUGUGUUCAGUACAGACGCAAUUUUUUCCCCCAAAUAUUUUCCAUCUGAGUCGGUUAAAUCCACAGAUGGGAAACCCACAGAUAUGGAGGGCUGACAGUAUUUCUUUUUAACAGGCAAGAUUUUUACAACAGUGGCUUAUAAAAUACCUCAGUCUGCUAUAGGAGAAUCAUUAUUAGUAAGACAUGUGAAUGUAUGUUUUGUAUGGAUGGAUACCUUCUGAUUAGAAAACUUGUAAAAGCAACUGACUUGUUUUUCUCUAAAUCACUUAAGUCAUCAAAAGCACCAUGGAAAUGUUUAAUAAUACUGACUGAGAAUCUUAUUGUUUUCUGAUAUCCCUAAUGUGUUCAAUUUGGAGAAUUAGCCGUCUUAUGUAUCUCUGCUACGAAAUGUUCAUCAGACAGAUUUAAGAGCGUGACAAUAACUUGGACUCUCCCUAAUUAGCAUUCUUUAGGGCAUUAACUGGUAUGAGAAUAGAGCAAAAAGCUUUCUGAGUGCCAGAGAAGGAUUCCCAAGUCCUUGAUACAGCAUUAAAGCGGCUGUUGUGUCCUGUGGCAGUUAGAAUGCAGCCAGGAGAAGGGGAGCACUUGUGCUCUGGAGACCGAAGUUUCAUAUUCUGUUACAUUGUUUCUUAUCCAUAUUACUGGCACUUGAUUUUUAUGUUUUAGGGCAGCAGUCUUUGGCACCAGGGACUGGUUUUGUGAAAGACAGUUUUUCCACAGAGCUAGGUGGGAGCAGGGGUAGGGAAUGGUUUUGGGAUGAUUCAAGCACAUUACAUUUAUUGUGUGUUUUAUUUCGGUUAUUAUUACAUUGUAAUAAUGAAAUAAUUAUACAACUCACCAUAAUGUAGAAUCAUUGGGAGCCCUGACCUUGUUUUCCUGCAACUAGACAGUCCCAUCUGGGGGUGAUGGGAGACAGUGACAGAUCAUCAGACAUUAGAUUCUGGGAGUGCACAACCUAGAUUCCUCAUAUGUGCAAUUUACAAUAGGGCUCAUGUUCUUACGGGAAUCUAAUGCUGCCACUGAUCUGACAGGACGUGGAGCUUAGGUGGUAAUGCGAGCGAUGGGGAGUGGCUGUAAAAACAGAUGAAGCUUUGCUAGCUCACCUGCUGCUCAUCUCCUGCUGUGCAGCCUGGUUCCUAACAUGCCAGGGAACAUAGAUCAGUACAGAUUGGCGACUUCGGUUUUAGGGCCUAUGUUAGCUGGACCUAAGAAUGUUUGCUUUAUGAUGCGGUUUCAGAGUAUUGAAUAAAUCUCUCUAAUUUAAUUGCAAUGUCAUUUGUGAAAAAUUGCUUUCAUUGUGCUCUCUCACCCCCUUCAAAAAUUUGAAGUACAUCAAUCUCAUUGAAAAUGUGAAAAAAAGGCCAGGCGUGGUGGCUGACACCUGUAAUCCCAGCACUUUGGGAGGCUGAGGCAGGCGUUAUCACUUGAUGCCAGGAGUUUGAGACCAGCCUGGUCAACAUGGCAAAACCCUGUCUCUACUAACAGUACAAAAAUUAGCUGGGCAUGGUGGCGUUGCACCUGUAGUCCCAGUUACUUGGGAGGCUGAGGCAGGAGAGUUGCUUGAACCCGUGGGGCAAAGGUUGUAGUGAGCCAAGAUCAUGCCCCUGCACUCCAGCCUGGACGACAGAAUGAAACUGUCUCAAAAAAAAAAAAAAAAAAAGUGAAAAAUAUUUGAAAAUACAAGGAAAACAAUUCAGCCAUGAUCUUACAACCUAGUAAUGAAGUAAAAUUUUGGUAUUUCCUGUUUCUUUACUCUGCCUAGAUAAGUAUUUUCAUAUUAUUUCCCCUUUAAUUUUAGUUGACACAUGAUCAUUGUACGUACAUAUUUAUGGGAUUCAGAGUCACAUUUCAAUAUAUGUAUACAGUAUGUAAUGAUCAAAUCAUUAGCAUAUCCAUCAUGUCAAAGAUGUAUUAUAGUUUUGUGUUGUGAACAUUCAAACUUCUCUCUUCUAGCUUUUUGAAAAUAUAUAAUAAAUUAUUAUUUAACCACAUUUACCACAUUCACCUUCCAGUGCUGCCAGAACAUCAGAACACAUUCCUCUUAUCUCACUGUAAUUUUGUAGGCAUUAACCAGCGUCUCUCUAUCCUCCUCUUCCCUCUACCCUUCCGCGCCUUUAAUACUCCCAAUUAUACUCUCUACUUGAGCUCAAAGCUUUUCGGCUCCCACAUACGAAUCAGAACAUGCAUUUGCCUUUCUAUGCCUGCCGUAUUUUGCUUAAGCUAAUGUCUUCUAGGCUCAUCUGUGUUGCCAUAAAUGACAGAAUUUCAUUCUUUUUUUUGGCUAAAUGGUAUUACAUUGUGAUAUAUACCACAUUUUCUUUAUCCACUCAUCUUUUGAUGAACAUUUAGGUUGAUUCCUUAUCUUAGCUAUUGUGAAUAGUGCUGCAGUAAACAUGGGGGUGCAGCGUAUGCCUUUGACUUUGUUUCCUUCAGAUAAAUUUCCACUAGUGGGAUUGCUGAAUUGUAUGGUAGUUCUGUUUCUAAUUUUUUGAGGAACUUCCACGCUGUCUUUCAUAGUAGCCAUCCUAAUUUUCCAUCCCACCAACAGUGUGUAAGAGUUCCCAUUUCUCUACAUCAUCGCCAGUCUGUGUUAUUUUUUUGUCUUUUUUAUAGUAGUCAUUCUGACUGGGUUGAGAUGGUAUCUUACUGUUGUUUUGAUUCACAUUUCCCUGUUGAUUUAGUGAUGUUGAACAUUUUCUUAUGUUUGUUGCCAUUUGUAUGUCUUCUUUUGAGAAAUGCCUUUUCUGUUUCUUUGCCUACUUUUUAAUUGGAUCAUGUGGGUUCUUUGCCAUUGAAUUGUCUGAGUUCUUGUAUAUUCUGAAUAUUAGUCCCUUUUUGGAUAGUUUGCAAAUAUUUUCUCCCAUUCAUCGGGUUGUUUUUCAUUCUGUUGAUUGUUUCUUUUGCUGUGCAGAAGCAUUUCAGUUUAAUAUAGUCUCAUUUUUCUGUUAUUUUAUUGUUGCCUGUGCUUCGAAGUCUUAGCUGUAAAAUCUUUGUCUGGACCAAUGUCUUUUAGCAUUUGUCUAAUGUUUUCUUCUAGUAGUUUUAUAGUUUUGAGUCUUAUGUUUAACAUUUUUAAUACUAAUUGGGCUGAGACUUGAAAUGCAUUUUUGGAUCUGCUUUUUUAAUUAAUCAUGUCACAAGCGUUUCACAUACCACUUAUUUUUAUUAGAAAAAUUUAAAACUACAUAGAAAAGGAAAAAGUUGUUUAAUACCCCUCUCUUUAUUAACAAAGAUAAUUGCAGAUUAAUAUUUGAGAUUUACCUUUCAAUUGUGUAUAUAGUAUUUAAGUGUACGAUACAUCUGCAGGAUCAAGAUCGCACAGCACACUUUAGAAAGCAGGUACCACUGUGCCUUAUUUAGUGCCAUAGUCAUAAUUCACUCUCUGGAAAUACUUUAGGACUCUGGUGAUAAUAGGAAACGCAAAGCAGUGAAAUUAAUCUGCCAGUUUGCUCUUCGGCCACUGAGAAACUAAAUAUAAGGAUCCUUAUUUCUGAGGCUUUUAAUGUUUUGUCGUUGUUUUUGUCAGUAGAUAUAAUGAAAUAGUUGAUUAAUAUUAGCUGUGCUAGUCUUUACAUGUUGACAUUGUUUUCUCGUACAUGAUUCCUGUUCCCUACAACCUCACAGUUUUAAAAAAUGAAAUCUGAUUUUAGCAAAUUUAAAAUAUAAGUGAAAUGUAUUUGGAGGACUUUGUUAUAUAAAUGGCUAAUCCAGAAUAUAAUAUUAUUUUGUAACUAAAAAUGUUACCAAUAAAUCUUUCAGGGUGAUGGAACUAUAGAUGGAUUUUAUGUUCUUAUGUUUUCUUCUAUUUUCUGAUUUUUCCAUAGUGAAUAAUGUGUAAUACAAUUUUUAAAUUUAAGACUAAAAAAGCAUUAUAUGCUUUUUUAUUUUUUAAAUAAGUAAAGGAACACAGCAAAGGGAAACAUCUUGCUUUUAAAACUCUUAAUAUGGCUAGCAGAGUACAGUAGUCCCUCCUUAUCCAUGGAGGAUACAUUCCGAGACUCCAAGUAGAUGCCUGAAGCUGGAGAUGGUAUGAAAGCCUGUAUGUACUCUGUUUUUCCUAUACAUACAUACCUAUGAUAAAGUUAAAUUUAUAAAUUAGGCACAGGAAGAGAUUAACAAUAAUAACCGACAAUGAAACAGAACAUUUAUAACAAUAUUCUUAAUAAAAGCUAUGUGUAUGUGCUCUGUUUUUCUCAAAAUAUCUUAUCAUACUCUACUGUAGGAAACAAACUUUGGAAAGCAAAAUCAUAGAUAAGGGGGAACUAACUGUAGCCCUGUUUUUGUUGCUGACUGUAAUUAUUUUAUGGCAUUGUUUUUUCUAAUCAUGAAAUGUAUAGCAUUAGUUUCUCUGAAUUUUCCAUCAACUUUUUGGUUUAAAUCUGCUAUUCUGAAAAAGAAUCUAUUAAACAUUUUUGAUUUGUGAUGUUUAUUGAUAAUAUUUCCACUGUUGAGUAUUUGUACAACUUGUCUUUUCUUAGAAAAGAUGUAAUUUAUAUAUCCUGGAAAGAAGCCCAAACAUCACUUUAAUACCAGAGUGAAUGUUACUUCAUUUUGUUUAGCAAAAACACUAGCAAAUGCUAGACCACUGGAGUGUUAGGUAACUUAAAAUUGAUGGCAGUGGUGACCUGAGCACCUCAGACCAGGGGUUUACCCACAUCUCAUCUAGUACUCACUAACAUCUAGGUUAGUGAGUACUUUCAGGUGAUAAGAUUAUAAAAAGUAAACAUGACUUAAAAUAGUUAUUUAGCCAGGGUGCGAUGGCUCACGCCUGGAAUCCCAGCACUUUGGGAGGCCGAGGCGAGCGGAUCACCUGAGGUCGGGAGUUCGAGACCAGCCUGACCAACAUGGAGAAACCCUGUCUCUACUAAAAAUACAAAAUUAGCCGGGCAUGGUGGCACAUGCCUGUAAUUCCAGCUACUUGGGAGGCUGAGGCAGGAGAAUCGCUUGGACCCGGGAGGUGGAGGUUGUGGUGAGCCGAGAUGGCGCCAUUGCACUCCAGCCUGGGCAACAAGAGUGAAAUUCUGUCUCCAAAAAAAAAAAAAAAAAUUUAGAAAUGAAACUUUACAUUAUGCAGUCCAGCUAUUAAUAGUAGGAAUGCCUUUCAUCCUUUCCGCUUGUGAAGUGGAGCGAUGUGGGGAACUUCACAGAAACUUGUUUUCAAAUUGCAUCAGAGGCCAAGGAGCAGCUGCUACUCCUCCUAUGUAAAGGAACACAGAAAGACACUGUCAUAUAAAAUAAACUGAAAAUGAGAUUUUUCCCAUCAGUCUUUUUUUAAUAUUAUGUAAUAAUUUAGAGGGAAGAGAAACAAAUGAUCGUAGCAUAUUAUGUAGGGGGGGAAAUGAACUCAUUAUAGAAUAUCACUAAUUUAAAUAAUUGUCUAUUAAUGCCCCAAAUAAGUUUGAAUCGCUUUUAGUGCAUAUUGAAGUUCACAUUUAGGUAUGCACUUCUGUGAUUAUAUUUUAAGAUGGAGGGUAAGCCUCUUAUUUCUUACUGAUUUAUCUUUGUAUAGUCUAGAUACCAUAUGUUUAUAUGCCCUGUGUUCUUUAUAGUAACAACAGAAUAAUUAGGAAGGUAUUUUGCAAGAUUUUUGAAACAAUGGCUUUCAUUUGAAACCUGCAGUAUUAUUCUUUAAGUAUUGCCUUUUUUUUUUUUUUUUUUCUGAGACAGGGUCUUACUCCAGUUGCCCAGGCUGGAGUGCAGUGGCGCGAUCUUGGUUCACAGCAGCCUUGACCUCCCGGGCUCAGAUUACCCUCCCACCUCAGCCUUCUGAGUAGCUGGGACUACAGGAGCAUGCCACCAUGCCUAAUUUUUUGUAUUUUUAGGAGAGAUGGGGUUUCACCAUGUUGUCCAGGCUGGUCUCAAACACCUGGACACAAGCAGUUUGCCUGCCUCAGCCUCCCAAAGUGCUGGGAUUACAGGCGUGAGCCACCACGCUUGGCCAAUAUUUGCCUUUGUACUGUUGAAGGACUGAGGGACUGAAUUUAGAUGUGGAAGAUGAAAUAAUUGGCUUUCCAUUCAAGGAAUCAGUGUCUUGUGGUGCAGGCAGGUGUGUAGACAACCAGUGCAUCAGUGGCUACUGAGUGUUGUGAUAAAGGGAAGAUCCUGGGGAGAGUGAACUGGCUCAAACUGGCAGGAAGAUGCAGAAGAGGGUCACCAGGGAAGGCUUCCGAGGAGGCGAUGGUGAUGCCUGUGCUCACCCUCCGGUCAUAAGUUGGAGUUGCCUAGUAGAGGAAGGCUGAGAAACCUGUGGUGGAUUGUGGGACCAGCACAUCCUUUGGCAUGACUGAAACAGAGGGCACGUGGAGUGGAGCAGCUGUGGGGCAGCGGGGAGCUAGAACGUGGAAACAUGGAUUUUACUUGAUUUGUUAAAAAUCAGAGUUUGGAACCUCUCCCUCUCCCUCUCCCUCUCCCUCUCCCUCUCCCUCUCCCUCUCCCUCUCCCUCUCCCUCUCCCUCUCCGUCUCCCCACGGUCUCCCUCUCUUUCCACGGUCUCCCUCUGAUGCCAAGCCGAAGCUGGACUGUACUGCUGCCAUCUCGGCUCACUGCAACCUCCCUGCCUGAUUCUCCUGCCUCGGCCUGCCGAGUACUUGCGAUUGCAGGCGCGCGCCGCCACGCCUGACUGGUUUUCAUAUUUUUUUGGUGGAGACGGGGUUUCGCUGUGUUGGCCGGGCUGGUCUCCAGCUCCUAACCGCGAGUGAUCCGCCAGCCUCGGCCUCCUGAGGUGCCGGGGUUGCAGACGGAGUCUGGUUCACUCAGUGCUCAAUGGUGCCCAGGCUGGAGUGCAGUGGCGUGAUCUCGGCUCGCUACAACCUCCACCUCCCAGCCGCCUGCCUUGGCCUCCCAAAGUGCUGAGAUUGCAGCCUCUGCCCAGCCGCCACCCCUUCUGGGAAGUGAGGAACGUCUCUGCCUGGCCGCCCAUCGUCUGGGACGUGAGGAGCCCCUCUGCCUGGCUGCCCAGUCUGGAAAGUGAGGAGCCCCUCUCCCGGCCAGCUGCCCUGUCCGGGAGGGAGGUGGGGGGGUCAGCCCCCCGCCCGGCCAGCCACCCCGUCCGGGAGGGAGGUGGGGGGGUCAGCCCCCCGCCCGGCCAGCCGCCCCGUCCAGGAGGGAGGUGGGGGGGUCAGCCCCCCACCCGGCCAGCCGCCCCUCCCGGGAGGUGAGGGGCGCCUCUGCCCGGUCGCCCCCCCGUCUGGGAGGUGUGCCCAGCAGCUCAUUGAGAACGGGCCAUGAUGACAAUGGCGGUUUUGUGGAGUAGAAAGGGGGGAAAGGUGGGGAAAGGAUUGAGAAAUCGGAUGGUUGCCGUGUCUGUGUGGAGAGAGGUAGACAUGGGAGACUUUUCGUUUUGCUCUGUACUAAGAAAAAUUCUUAUCCUGUUUAUCUGUGACCUUGCCCCCAACCCUGUGCUCUCUGAAACAUGUGCUGUGUCCACUCAGGGUUAAAUGGAUUAAGGGCGGUGCAAGAUGUGCUUUGUUAAACAGAUGCUUGAAGGCAGCAUGCUCCUUAAGAGUCAUCACCACUCCCUAAUCUCAAGUACCCAGGGACACAAACACUGCGGAAGGCCGCAGGGUCCUCUGCCUAGGAAAACCAGAGAACUUCGUUCACUUGUUUAUCUGCUGACCUUCCCUUCACUAUUGUCCUAUGACCCUGCCAAAUCCCCCUCUGCGAGAAACACCCAAGAAUGAACAAUUAAAAAAAAAAAAAAAAAAAAUCAGAGUUUGAAUCUUGUGCCUUGUAUAAACUUUGCUGUCAUGUUGGUUGGGGGGAUUUAUUUAUUCUUGGUUAAAGCAAGUUUUAUAUUUUAAUUUAAUUUAAUUUUUUAAGACAGGAUCUCACUCUGACAGGGUCAAGCUGGAGUACAGCAGUGCGAUCAUAGCUCACUGCAGCCUCGAACUCCUGGGCUGAAGCGAUCCUCCUGCCUUAGCCUUCCAAGUAGCUGGGACUAUAGGUGCAUGCAACCAUGCCUGCCUUUUUUUUUUUUUUUUUAAAGAAAUGGGAUCUUGCUAUCUUGGCCAGGUUGAAUACAAGUUUUAAAAUAAAAUAUUACAUCUAACCAGUUUUCAUUGAGAAGUCUGGGGCUUUUGAAAGAAUUUCCAAGUAUUGAGUACGAAGUUGGUCAACCAAAUAGAGCUGCCCUUGGAAAGCAUGGUUGUUGUCUGGGGGGGCACCCUCAUGGCACUCUUUCCCAUGUGUGUAGGAUGGCAUGGUAGCACAAAGUCAAAAGUAGAUGAAAUUGACGGACGUACCCAAACAGUUUCUAUGUAUUUUUAAGCAUGGUAGAAGGUUAGUCUUUGCAUGUACUCUAGUUCACAGCCUUUUCUAAGAGGCUGAGGCCAAAUUGAAUUUAUCUGGGAACCUGCCACAUCUAUAAAUGCUACAUAGGGUAAUAAAUGGGCCAUUGGCUUCCAAGAAUCAGUGACAGUGCACUUUAGUUCCUAAUUUAGAGUUCAUGAAAAUUAUCCCUUGACAAACAGAUUGUGAAAAAGGAAACCCUAUUAGAUGGAUUCAUCUGUUUUUUUUUUUUGAGAUGGAGUCUUGUGCUGUCACUCAGGCUGGAGUGCGGUGGUGUGAUCUCACCUCACUGCAACCUCUGCCUCCCUGCAACCUCUGCGUUCUGGGUUCUAGCAAUUCUCCUGCCUCAGCCUGCUGAGUAGCUAGGACUACAGGCACUAACCACAACGCCUGGCUAAUUUUUGUAUUUUUUGAUAUAGAUGGGGUUUCACUCUGUUGGACAGGCUGUUCUCAAACUCCAAGUGAUCUGCCUGCUUCAGCCUCCCAAAGUGCUGGGAUUACAGGCAUGAGACACCACGCCUGGCCUGCCUUUUGACAAAUAGGAAGAGGCAAUGUCAGUCUGUCCCACCCAGUAGACUUGGCUUCUCUGCAUGGGGGCUACAUCUUAGUCAUUAUUCUACAUCCUUGGCAUUUGGAAUGGUGCUGGCACAGAGCUGGAGAGGGCUUUGAGGAGAUGCCCUGGUACAGUCCUUGGGAAGGGGCCAAUUCUGGGAUAGCCGAGAAGAGAGAGGAGCAUGGCACCCAACAGAGUGAUGAACGAAGGCGGAAGUUUACGACAGUGUUCACCCAGUGAGGGUUGCACUCCCUCACUGGGUUGUGAAGUCAUUUGAAUGAAUGGUGACCAGCAUUUUUAAUAAAAUGGAAGAAGUUAGAAAAUGUCAGUGUGUCUUAUAUAAUAUAGUUUUUUUUUUUUAAUGUAACCUUUUUUUCAGGGUUCUGUACGUACAGAUGUAUGUGUGUGUACUGGGUUAUAAUGCACAUGGAUUUCUUGUUGAGGGUUAUGGUAAACAGAGUUUGAACUCAGGCACUUCAGGAGAAACACAGAUUAAAGUCCUCAUUUAAAGAAGAAUUACUCUUUUCCAGGUGUGCAAAGCACUGUGGCGGGUGUUGGUGGGCUGGGGGGAAGCAGAGGUAACUGGCAGAGCUCUCCCUCCUCAGGUGCUGCCUCUCUCUAGAGUAGCCUGGGGCUUGGGAUUCCUGUGGACAGCUUCAGGAAGAAAUGCUCAUUCCUUCACCCUGUGGUCUCCACAGGUCUGGAGGAGACUUCUGUGCUGCUCACCAAGAGAAGGAUGUCGUGAUUAAAGCACAGUCCUCUCUCUGUCCACCUUGCUUGGCUCUCCUUGAGGGAGCAGGAUGAAUAGCUUACCUGAUGAGCAGAAUCAGGAAGAGUCUGACACCCAAGGGCCAUUUGACAAGUGGAUGGGGCCACUGCAUUGAAGAAGGCAGGCCUGGAAACCAGCUGCUGGGGUCUCUUGGAAGCUGAGAUUAAGGAAUCGUUUAGAGUUCAGAGGCCUCUUGCAGCUGUCAUGAUGGGGUCUCGUGGUCUGGAUUUCUGGAUUUCUGUAGGGAUGGUAUCACCUAUAGGAGGAAGCCCCAUUUGGACCUCACACUCAAGAUCCUUCUCCAGCACAGUCUACCAAGGAGUCCCAUGCUUGAGGGGAACAGGAAGGGGAUGCCGAGUCCUCAUGGGCUCCAUAAGAGGAUGAUAGUCCUCGUUAGAACCAUCAGAGGACGAUACUCCCUACCUGCCAACGAGUACCAGUGGGAGUGGUUGUUGGGCCAGUGUCUGAUACUUUAUUGCUGGCCAUCAAAUUUGGACUUUGUGAACAGCAGAGAACCUUUUUGCACAGCCAGGGGGAUGGAUGUGACUCUGAUGACAUGAUAAGGAAUUUCUUUCAUAGGGCGCAGUGGGCUUCAAUGUCAGGGCUGAGAGGCUGGAAGUGGCUGCAGUGUGCCCAGAAGUGGAGCAGUAGCCAGUAGUGACCUACAGUUACUAUUCCAUUACUGAUCUGUGAGGGUGUUUAAUUGCUACUGACAUUGUUCGGAUUUUAUGGAAACUAGAUUUUCAACUUUGCCAUCCAUCUGGCUUACAAAACUUGAAAUGCUCCAGAUGUGACUUUGUAUCUUAAUUCCUUUUCACCAACCAGAAGGUGGUGCUGUCGUGCUGGCAACCAAUCUACCUUUCCAACGCCAAGUAAAACAUUGAAAUGCUUAUUCAUGCUAAGUAAUGUGGACAGACUUAGCAUUCGGAUUCGACAGCGUACCUCUCCUGUAGUUGUGGGGAAGCCUUUAGAGUCCGGAGCUGGAGAAGCCUGGCAGAGGGGCCUUGGUUAGGCACUCGCUCAGGGCCACCUUUGCACUCACGGUGAAGUGACACUUUUAUAGGAGUCAGGGCGAAGAUGUCUGCUGAGUGCUGCUUGAUCUGUGUCCAGUCUUCCAUGAAACAGUUAAAGAAUUAUGACUAGAGAUGAGAGAAGUUUCUGUAAAGAGAAAAUGUUUUUUCUCUCGUUUCUUGCAGGGAAAGAUCUCUACCUAGAGGAAAACUCAUGAAUCCAGUUUAUAAGAAAUACUUAUAAAGUAAUCAUUAGUAAUUAAAGUGAUUAAUUGAAUACUCAA
Molecule: long non-coding RNA, 22051 nt
Organism: Homo sapiens (human)
Lineage: Eukaryota; Metazoa; Chordata; Mammalia; Primates; Hominidae
Exons: 2
Source: RefSeq, a predicted model, not a curated record